Molecule: long non-coding RNA, 271 nt
Filed under: Mytilus galloprovincialis (Mediterranean mussel)
Lineage: Eukaryota; Metazoa; Mollusca; Bivalvia; Mytilida; Mytilidae
Source: RNAcentral
UUUUAAGUAAAUUUACCAUCGGUGGGUAAACUCACAAUCCUAGUCAAUUAGGAUUGGAGUCGAGUGCACCUUCCACGUGCGGGACUACAACUCACAAACUCAGUGUUGACAGUUUAAUAAUACAAAAGUUGAAAUACUUACACCACUUGGUCACUGCGGUUCCUUGGUGUAUAUCAAUUAGUAGGUAGGCCACCAACUUAGAAUUUUCCACGAAUAUUAUAUUACCGACUGUGACUUUAGAAAUAUGUAACAUCAAAUCAAGAGUCCGAAG